Molecule: long non-coding RNA, 174 nt
Organism: Phyllostomus discolor (pale spear-nosed bat)
Lineage: Eukaryota; Metazoa; Chordata; Mammalia; Chiroptera; Phyllostomidae
Exons: 3
Source: RefSeq, a predicted model, not a curated record
GUUCCCUCCGAACAAAGCAGCAACAUAUCAUUGGUGGUUCUCCGCGCACCCUGGUUUGACAUCAGCCGUCUUUUCCGGGUUGUAGUUCAGCUGCCAUUUUGUCCUACCCUUCCCAUGCAGACAUUCCGACUUCUUUGAUAGGAUAAGGGGCCCUGGUGUUCGAUGAGGGACCAG